AUGAGAGGAACUGGAGCCGCUCGCAGAGGUCUGGGUGAAGUUCAUGACUCUCAGUGAUAUACGUUCAUCAGGGGAGCGUCGUUCCCAUCAUCCUCGUCUCUGCGCUUCCUCUUUGUUCUGCAUCUGCUGAGCUGUGCGUGCCAGAUAUCUGACAUUUACACAAACGCUCUGAGGAUCGGCUGAGGUCACUGACUCAUGUUACAGUCAGCGCUGCAGUGAUGACAAACAAGCCUAAUCCGCCUGAUUGACAUCUCAGUCUAAAUUGACUUGGAAUAACGGAGGAAAAUUCCAGAUGUUCAGUGCUGAAGGCCUGGAUCUGUCAGUGUGUUUGGUGGCAGUGAUGUUGCAAUGAAGUGGCUG
Long non-coding RNA from Cyprinus carpio carpio, 360 nucleotides. NCBI's taxonomy places the organism in Eukaryota, Metazoa, Chordata, Actinopteri, Cypriniformes, Cyprinidae. The record is from Ensembl.